RNAcentral lists this non-coding RNA (164 nucleotides) under human gut metagenome. The record is from RNAcentral.
ACUGAGUAGAUGAAAAGGGAAUCCGGUUUGAGUCCGGAACAACCGCCAUUACUGUAUUUGACGAAAGAAGAACAUAACCAUUGGAAUAAUUCUGAGAAGGGUUCUUUUUGUUGUAUGUAAUUAUAUACGCAAAUCAUAAGUCAGGAUACCUGCCGUAUUUUUUA